This 363-nucleotide ribosomal RNA is filed under the name uncultured bacterium. RNAcentral's name for it is "bacterial SSU rRNA". It matches the Rfam family "Bacterial small subunit ribosomal RNA", at positions 74 to 422 of the family's 1533-position model. The record is from RNAcentral.
AGGGCUUCGGCCCCGGUACAGUGGCGCACGGGUGAGUAACACGUGGGUAACGUUCCCUCGGGCGGGGGAUAACCUUCCGAAAGGAGGGCUAAUACCGCAUAAGACCACGACCUCGAGAGAGGACGCGGUCAAAGCAGGCCUCUUCAUGAAAGCUUGCACCUGAGGAUCGGCCCGCGGCCCAUCAGCUAGUUGGCAGGGUAACGGCCUACCAAGGCUAAGACGGGUAGCUGGUCUGAGAGGAUGAUCAGCCACACUGGAACUGAGACACGGUCCAGACUCCUACGGGAGGCAGCAGUGGGGAAUCUUGCGCAAUGGACGAAAGUCUGACGCAGCGACGCCGCGUGGGUGAUGAAGGCCUUCGGG